GCAGCUACACAGCGAUGUGAUGCUAAUCUCCAAACCAUGUCUCAGUUCGGAUCGGAGUCUGCAACUCGACUCCGUGAAGCUGGAUUCGCUAGUAAUCGCGCAUCAGCCAUGGCGCGGUGAAUACGUUCCCGGGCCUUGUACACACCGCCCGUCAAGCCAUGGGAGCCGGGGGUACCUGAAGUCCGUAACCGCGAGGAUCGGCCUAGGGUAAAACUGGUGACUGGGGCUAAGUCGUAACAAGGUACC
This 246-nucleotide ribosomal RNA is filed under the name uncultured bacterium. RNAcentral's name for it is "partial 16S ribosomal RNA". It matches the Rfam family "Bacterial small subunit ribosomal RNA", at positions 1246 to 1500 of the family's 1533-position model. The record is from RNAcentral.